This 113-nucleotide transfer RNA is filed under the name Shewanella sp. RNAcentral's name for it is "tRNA-OTHER". Lineage: Bacteria; Pseudomonadati; Pseudomonadota; Gammaproteobacteria; Alteromonadales; Shewanellaceae. The record is from RNAcentral.
GCCGACAUAGCUUAGUUGGUAGAGCAACUGACUUACUCGCUAAAUCUCAGCAAUAUACGAGCAGCAGUAGGUCCCCUUCUUUCAUAAAUAGCCGACUCUUGGUGCCGGCGCCA